RNAcentral lists this ribosomal RNA (448 nucleotides) under uncultured bacterium. RNAcentral describes it as "bacterial SSU rRNA". It matches the Rfam family "Bacterial small subunit ribosomal RNA", at positions 954 to 1407 of the family's 1533-position model. The record is from RNAcentral.
GCUAAACGCGAAGAACCUUACCAAGGCUUGACAUGGAUUUCUAAGCACGUGAAAGCGUGUGACCCUUCGGGGGACUUCCACAGGUGCUGCAUGGCCGUCGUCAGCUCGUGUCGUGAGAUGUUGGGUUAAGUCCCGCAACGAGCGCAACCCUCGCCCUUAGUUGCCAUCAUUUAGUUGGGCACUCUAAGGGGACUGCCGGUGAUAAGCCGGAGGAAGGUGGGGAUGACGUCAAGUCUUCAUGGCCCUUACGGGCUGGGCUACACACGUGCUACAAUGGCGGUGACAGAGGGCUGCUAGGCCGCGAGGCCAUGCUAAUCCCUAAAAGCCGUCUCAGUUCGGAUUGCACUCUGCAACUCGGGUGCAUGAAGUCGGAAUCGCUAGUAAUCGCAGAUCAGCACGCUGCGGUGAAUACGUUCCCGGGUCUUGUACACACCGAGUCGUGGGAGGC